AAAUGGUACUACAAUGGGUGGGAGUAUUGAAGUGAGAAAAGGCAGCAGAGAAGCCUUUCUUCUACAUACAUGAAGAGCUCUUUUGUUCUCAAGGAAGGAAAAUAUAACAUGAAGAAUUUUUUAAAAACACAACCAAAUAAAUUUACGGUGUGGUUUCAGCUUUAUUUUUCUGGGCUCUUAAAGAUGACCUAGUCCAAUUCCCUUAUUUCACAAAUGUGAAAAUUAUCUCAGAAAGGUAAACUUGCCUAUCAUCACACAGCUAAUUCCUGCCACUGUGAAAAAUGGAACCUAGACCUCCUUACAAUAUUGCUCUAGACCUUAGAGUCCUAUAACAUACGUUUAUAUUAUGAAGAGUUUCCAUUCUUCCUAUUAGCAAUAGGUUUUAUGGAGAUGUUCAGGUUAAGCCUAGAUUUUUGCUAAGAAUUUUGAUGAACUUUGCUGAAGCAAUAUGAGUAUUAUUUGCCCUUGAGCCCCCGGUUGUGUUAACGAGGAUCCCUAGUUUCAACCUUUUGUUGAAACAUCACAAAAUGUAGGUGGAGACUAUAGCACUUUCUUUUGCAGUGAGUCAACAAUGCCAGAAGCACUACACAAAAGCCAAGCAGACGUUAUCCCUGCCAGGUGGCCUGAUAUUGAAAAAAGAGAAAUAAAUAAUAUGCUAGAAAAAUUGGAUGACUCAGGGAGCAGGGAAGAAGAAGAGAUGAAGAUUAAAAUUGAUAACAUCAUUUUGUGACUCAGAGUCAUUUUUCCUGGAUCAUAUUUCAAACGUUGCCCUUGUUAAUUUUCCAAUGAAUAUACAGAUUUGAAAGCAAAGGAACAAUGACCCAAAAGAACUAAGAUUCGACAUGAAUGUGAAGAAUUGGGUUACAUAGGGGAAGUGUUUCCAGUAGCGGAUAAGACAUACAUGUGGAAUAGAGGAAAGAAAGUAAUUUAAUAGUCAGAUGGUCUCUGCUGCGAAUCCAGAUCUGCUCAGUGAGAGUGUAUCAUAGGGUCUAGCCAGGAAAACAGAAACCACUCUACGUCUUUCAAACCGAUGCAUUUAAUCAAGGGAAAUUAUUAUCCAAAAUGAUGAAAAACCUGAGAAGCCAUUAGGAGAUGGAAGGCAACAGGAGAAAACUGUAACCACAACUAGAGGUGAUGAAACAACAGGAGGAAAUGGGUAACCAGAGCCCAGCAUCUGGAGCUGUCCAGGAGAAGCUGGAGUCAGUGAAGACUGCCUAGUGGGAAAGACGAUCAUUGAAGGAGGAGCUUUCUUAAGGUUUCAUUCCUGCUCCCAGCAAGCAGUUUCUCAAAUGUGUGCUGCUGGUUCCUACUUGAAGACUGAUGAGAAAUGAUGACAGCCCCAUAUCAACUCGCCAUGAUAAUCCUAACAUUUCUCUGCCACUGUAAAGGUAAUAAAAUCAUUUUCAAGCACAUGAUGUUUCUUAACCUUUAUAACCCUGUGCAGUUAAUAUUAUUUCUCUCAAUUCGCAGAUGAGGAAACAAAGAUGCAGAUUCUUAUUGUCUUCUCAAGUACAUAGUGAGGAGCAGAACCUUUUCUUCUGGAAAACCAGAUUUAAAGAAAUAAGUACAUAGGCAACUCAAGGGUAUGGUCUGCUGAUACACUAAAGGUUUUUUUUUGUUGUUGUUGUUUUGUUUUGUUUUUCUGUUUUAAUGACUCUGGAGAUGAAAGGUUGUAAAUCAAGGGAAUCCCAAGGUAAGAAAAUAAAACACGUUCUCAUUGGUUUGCCAGUGAAAUGAAUGAUAAGUGCAAACUUAAACCUACAAGAUCGAGGAGGUGAAGUUUAAAUAGUAAGUUCUAUAAGAGCCAACCUAUAAAAACAGAUCUGUAGUGUUCCUUCUGACUAUACAGGGGUGUGAUGGUUAAUUUUAUGCAUUAACUUAACUGGAUCACAGGAUGCCCAGAUGUUUAGCUAAACAUUAUUUUGGGUGUGUCUGUGAGGCUGUUUCCAGAGAGAUUAGCAUUUGAAUUGAUAGACUGAGUCAAGAUUGCCCUGACCAAUGCAGUUGGGUAUCAUCCAAUCCUUUGAGGCCCGGACCAGAAGCCAAGAAGAAGGAAGGGAGAAUUUGUCCCCUCUGCCUGAUUGCUUGAGCUGAACAUUGAUCUCCUCCUCCUCUUGGCACUUCUGGUUCUCAGGCCUCAGACACAGACUGGAAUCUACACCAUCUGUGGACCUUUCCUGGGCCUCCAGCUUGCAGACAGCAGGUCUGCAAAAUCAGAUCAGCAGAUCUGUGGAACCACACAGCCUCUGCCAUCAUGUGAGCCAGUUCCUUAUAAUAAAUCUAUUUACAUGAAUGUAUAUAUCUUAUUGGUUCUGUUUCCCUAGAGAACCCUAAUACAAAGGAUUCCCUCUCAGAUAUGUAUAGAAAUUUAUUUUUAUGAGUUUCUAGCCAGGCAUUCAUGUGAUACCAAUUCUUGGCCAGUACUAAACUUUGACUCUUAAUGAUUAAACCACACUCUUUAGGGAGACCACAAUGUGGGGACACAUUAACAGAAGCCAAACACCACACAAGCAAUGAAACAAGAAGGACACACGUCAUCUGCUAAAAAUGUGUGUGUGUGUGUGUGUGUGUGUGUGUGUGUGUGUGUGUGUGUGUAACAUCAGGGAUCAACAAUGCAUGAGUUUGGGAAGACCAGAUGAUGAGACCCAGCUUACAAGGUAUUUUGUAUUUCUAAUUGUUAUAAAACCCGCCAGAUUCAAAGUAAGUGAGAAAUACAGAUAUAGAAAUGGCACUCAUAAAUGAAUUCAACUCCAAAGUGAAUAAAACUUAAGACUAUUUUAAAAUAAAAGUGCAAUUUUAUUUAAAUAAAAUAAAUGCUUUGAGUUAUUUUAAAAUAAAUAUUAGAAGAGCGAACCCAAAUGUUAACUAUGGACUUGGGUGAUAAUGAUGUGCACUGUAGGUUCAUAAAUAAUUGUAAGAUAUUUACCACUCUGGCACAGGAGGCGGAUGGUGGGGUAGUCUGGGUGUGUGUAGGGGGAAGGGAGUGGGAGGACAGAGGGCAUAUAGGAACUCUGUACUUUCUGCCCAGUUUAGCCCUGAACCUAAAACUGUCCUAAAAAUAGAGUGCUUUUUUAAAAAAAAGAAAAAUUAUUUUUUUAAAAGCACAUUUUCUGGAGUUGUGAUCUUCAGGAUUACUGCUAGCAAUUGCAUUUUACAAACAUGCAGAGGCCAGUGGCUUCCAAUCUCUGAGUAUAAUAUGUUGGUCUGGAGGAUAGACUCUGUUUACCUUUUGGAUCCAGACUUUGGUUCUGAAUGAACAUAUUUUAUAGAACAUGCAAAGGGCAGCCGAGCUCGAGGAAGCCUGCAGAGUUCUGCAGUGUGAAGGCACACUGAGCAGAGAUGGCAUUUCCAGUUUUCACAGAAGAUGCCACAGCUCUUGCAUAUACUGUAUCUCCUUCCAACUUAAGUUCCCAAAAGGUAAAAUCACCCUAAACAACCACUUUUAAAAGUCUAAAUCACUUUCCUAAAAACCAGAGGAAAUAAAAAUCACAGUUAAUAUAAAACCAACUACUAAUACUUCCUCUUCUACUACAUGACUGUGUGCAUAAAUAAAACUCUGCAGACAAUUCAAGGGAGCUUUAGAAAAUCCCAGGUAUCUACAGAGGUUAUUGUUCUCUUUGAUUUACCAAUAGGGAGAAUUUAAUUGGUGCAUUUAUUGUGUUUAUCACUGUAGUAACAUGAAUGAAAAUUUUCAGGUCUCUGUCUGGCUUAGAAGGAUCACUGCAAUGCGAUGCCACUGUCUUCCUUCAGGAUGCACCCAUGUGCUGAGGGAUGUGUGCAUUCACCCACUUAGGAGGCUAUAAUCAAAGCUGGCGGUCAGAGCUGGUGUUGGACCUUCCUACUGCCAAGUAUGAGUUGAUUAAUAGCGUGAAUUUUUACUCCGCCUUGUGGUCUUCUGAUUUUUCCCCACAUAUCAGAACCUUGAAUUUACAGUACGAUUAGUAGACUUUGAACAAAUAUUUUAACUGAAUGACUAAUUGAAUAAAUGAUUUAAUUAACACAAGGUGAGUUCAGGGACCAAAUAAUUUGGAUGAUUUACAAGGUUCAUGAAAGAACAGCAGAUAAGGCUGGACUGUGGAUUGGAGAUAGAGUGUAGGAUAUCCUGAAUGCCAGCUGAGGAGGUGGGAGGAGAGGAGCCUCCAGAGGUUUCUGAGUGGGGCGGGAGCACAAUCAAAGCAUGCUUAGUAUGACUGUGAUUAGAAGUCAUGAGUCAAAGUAAAUAUCUGAGAGACAUACCUAAAAAACAAUUUUCUCUUCUUAUUUUUCAUGUUGUUAAUGAAUUAUUUUUAAGUGGGUUUUAAGUUAACCUGAAAAGGUCUUGAAAUUUCAAUAAAAUUAAAACAUUCCAUUUCCCAGAGCUCAUGCAAAAGAAUAUUUCAUAAGUGAUGUAUUUCCAAGGAAAAGAACAUUGACAUACUCUGACUACAUGCUACCUAAAAUAAUAGAGGUUAUUGGUUAAAUAUAUUAAUAACGAGAAUCAUACUAAUAGUUAAUAAGCUUAUGUGUAGUUCUCCGACUUUUUUGAAAUAAUUUAAACAUGUGUUAAGACCUAACAUUUUUACUUAUUCUUUAAAGCUACAUACAGCUUUUUAAAAAUAGCUUUAUUAAAGAGAUAAUUAACAUAUCACAAAACUCAGCCAUUUAAGUGUACAAUUCAAUGGUUUUAGUAAAUUUGCAGAGUUGUACAACCAUCAACACAGUCUAAUUUUAGAAUAUUUUCAUCAACAAAAAGAAACCCCAUAUGCAUUAGCAGUCAAUUCUCACUCCACGCCCAUCCAUCCCCAGCCCUAGGUAACUUAAUCUUUCUGUGUCUAUAGAUUUUCUUAUGCUGGACAUUUCAUUAAAAUGGUAUCAUACAAUAUGUGGUCUUUUAUGACUAGUUUGUUUCACUUAGCAUAAUGUUUUCAAGAUUCAUCCAUGUUAUAGCAUGUUUGAGUAAGUAUUUCUUUUUAUACUGAAUAAUAUUCCAUUAUAUGAAUAUGCUAUUUUUUAAUCCAUACAUUCAUUUAUGGACAUUUGGGUUGUUUUUAUUUUGGGCUAUUAUGAAUAAUUCUCCUAGGAACUUCCAUGCACAAGAUUUUAUGUAGGCAUAUUUUUUCUUUCUAUUGGAUAUGUAUCUAGAAGCAGAAUUGCUUGGUCAUCUGGUAACUCCAUGUUUUACAUUUUUAGGAGCUGCCAAACGGUUUUCCAAAAUAGCUACACUAUUUUACAUUCCUAUCAACAUUAUUUGAGAGUCGCAGUUUACCACAUCCUUGCCAAUGUUUGUUACUAUUUUUAAUUAAAGCUAUCCUAGUGGGUGCAGGUGGUAUCACAUUGUGGAUCACAUUGUGGUUUUGAUUUGCAUUUCCCUAAUGGCUAAUCAAUGUGAACAUCUUUUUAUGUGCUUAUUAUUCAUUGUAUAUCUUCUGUGGAUAAAUAUCUAUUCAAAUCCCUUGUCCAUUUUUAAUUUGGUUAUUCAUCUUUUCAUUAUGAGUAUGAGGGUUCUUUAUAAAUUCUGGCUACAAAUCCCUUCUCAUAUAUUUGAUUUGAAAGUGUUUUCUUCCAUUCAGUGAGUUUUUCUUUUACUUCCUUUGAUAAUGUCCUUUAAUGCAUAAAAAGUUUCCAGUUUUCAUAAAGUUCAAUUUAUCAAUUUUUUCUUUUGUCACUUAUGCUUUUUGUGUUAUAUCUAUAAAAAUCACUGCCUAACCCAAAGUCACAAACACUCUUAGGUUUUAUUCUAAAAAUUUAUCAUUGUAGCUCUUAUUUUUAGGUCUAUAAUCCAUUUUGAGUUAAAUUUUGCAGAUAGUGUGAGGUACAGGUCCAACUUCAUUCUUUUGCAUUCAGUUAUCCCAGAACCAUUUGUUGGAAGUACUAUUCUUUCUCUACAAAACUGUGUUGGUACCUCUGCCAAGGAUCAAUUCUUCAUAAAUAUAUGGGUUUAUUUCUGGGCUGUCAAUUCUAUUCUGUUGAUCUAUAUACCUAUCCUUGUGCCAGUACCACACUGUUUUGAUUAAUGUAGCUUUUAUAAUGAGUUUUGAAAUCAGGAAAUAUGAGUGUCCAAGUUUGUUCCUCUUUUUCAAGAUUGUUUACCUAUUCUGGGUCUAUUGCAUUUCCGUAUAAAUUUUAAGAUCGGCUUGUGAAUUUCAGCAAAAAUUCCAGAUAAAAAAAUUUUUAUAGGGAUUGCAAUGAAUCUGUAGAUCAGUUUGGAGAAUACUCCCAUCUUGUCAUCUUAACAAUAUUAAUUCCUCCAAUUCAUAAAUAAAUAUGGGCUUUUCCCUUAUUUCAGUCCUUUAAAAUUUCUUUCAGUAAUAUUUUAUACUUUUCAUUGUACAAGUAUGACACUUGUUAAAUUUAUACUUAAGUAUUUUAUUCUUUUUAUUCUAUUGUUAAUAAAAUUGUUUUCUUAAUUUCAUUUUUAAUUUUGCAUUGUUAGUAUAUAGAAAUAUAAUAGAGUUUUGUAAAUAUCUUGCAUCUUGAAACCCUGAUAAACUCAUUUAUAAUUUUUAAUUGAAUUCCUGAAUAUUUUCUAUAUACAUGAUGAUGUUGUCUGCAAAUAGUUGUUUUACUUUUUCCUUUCUAAUAUGGAUACCUUUUAUUUAAAAAUACUUUUAUUCUGCCUUUUAUAUUUACUUAUGCAGUUACCUUUACUAAUGCUCUUUAUUUAUUCCCGUGGAGUCAAGCACUCCCUAUUGUCCUUUCAUCCUUUCAAUUCUGUAUGAAGGAUUCCUUUUAAUACGUUUUGUAAGGCAGUCUUGAUAGAGACAAAUUCUCUCAGUUUCUGUUUGUCUGGUAGUGUUUAAUUUUUCCUUCAUUUUUGACAUGUAGUUUUGCUGGAUGUGAAAUUCUUCUAUUACAGUCUUUUUCUUUCAGCACUUUAGAUACAUCAGCCCCGGUAAAAAGUAAUUUGAGGAAAAAAAAUAGAUAUGUUAUCCACUGCCUUCUGGCCUAUGUAGUUUCUGAUGAGAAGCUAAUUAUUAAUCUUAAUGAAGAUUCUUUACACAUGAUAGAUCAUUUUUCCCUUGUUGCUUUUAAGAUUCUCUCUCUGCCUUUGUCUGUUGAAAAUUUGACUAUAAUAAUGUAUAGGUAUGGAUCUCCUUGAAUUUAUUCUACUUGGAGUUUGUUGAGUGUGUGUGUGUGUGUGUGUGUAUAUAUAUAUAUUUAAAAUCAAACUUAGGCAGUUUUGGGCCAUAAUUUUUUCAAGUAAUCAUUCUGCUUCUUUCUUUCCUCUAUUCUCACAUUCCAAUUACACAUAUACAUUUGUAUACUUGAUGGUCCCACAGAUCUUUGAAUCUCUGUUUAUUUUUCCUUUCUGUUUCUCACAAUGGAUAAUAUCAAUUGAUCUACAUUAAAGUUCACCAUUUUUUUUCUUCUGUCAGCUAAAAUCUGCUCUUGGGCCUCUCUGGUGCAUUUUUCAUUUUAGCUUAAUACUUUUCAAUACCAGAAUUUCUAUUUUGUUUUUUAUAAUUUUAUCUCUUUAUUGAUAUUCUCUAUUUGGUGAGAUAUUGUUGUCAUACUUUCCUUGAUUUAUUUUCAUGUUUUCUAUUAGUUCUUUAAACACUUCAUAAAAGCUGAUUUAAAAUCUUUGUCUAAUAACUCUAAGAUUUGGGAUCCCUCAGGGCCAGUUUCCAUUGACUCCUAUUUUCCUGUGUAUGGAUAAUUCUUUCUUGCUUUUUUAUGUGUCUCAUAAUUUCUUGUUGAAAAUUGGACAUUUUAAAUAAUAUAAUGUGGCAACUCUGGAAAUCAGAUCAACACCUCCCAACCAAGGUGUGUGGGUGUGUGUGAGAAAGGUUGCUAUCAUUUUGUUGUAUUUGUUGUUUUUUUUUUUGUUUUGUAACUUUCCUAAGCUAAUCCUGUAAAGUCUAUAUUCUUCAUAGUGUGUAACCACGGUUCUGUUCAGUUACGUUGUUAAUCAGCUAAUGCUUGGUCAGAGAUUUCUUAAAUGCCUCCAAAAAUUAAAUCUUUCAACCUUUACUCUCAGGCUCUGUGUGUGUGUGUGUGUGUGUGUGUGUGUGUGUGUGUGUGUGUGUGUGUGUGUGUUGGGGCAUGCUUUCCAUGUUCAGGCAGCCAGUUUACAAACUCUACCCUAGACUUCAUUUCCUGCUUGCACAGGGCUUCAAGAUCAGCCAAAGACUAGAGACUGGGGCCGUCUCAGGUCUUUACUGGGCAUACACACAACCUUGCAUGUAAGUGCAGCCAUCUAGAUCCCCAGGAAUAUCUUAGAGCUCUUGAAAAGCCCCAGGGACAUCUCAUUUCCCUUAUCUACGUUUUAAGUUUCUGGCCAGGCUCUUGUUUAUCUCUCAUGUUAAGUAAUUACCACUAAUUGUUUUUGAAAAAUUCCCUGGGGAUAGGGCUUUUCCUUUAACAUAUGUUGUGAAUCAGAUCAAAUAACAACUGCUCCUUUUGAGUGGGCUUUUCCAGAGGCUGUGAGAUAGGUCAAACAGUGACAGUGCUCUGCAGAUAGAACAUUCUGUGGAGUUACAAACCCCAUCUACCCCGCCAGUGGCUGCAUGGCUGCUGUUUUUCAUAGCUACUAUGAUUGUGAGGCUGCUGAUUUUCCAGGCUACUGCAGAGAUGGGGAAAGAGUGAUAACAGGAGAUAAAGUACCACAAACUCUGCAGUUCUUAAUGAGGUUCAGCAGUUUUUCCUGAAUAAGCAGUUUUCAGAUUGUUACAAGACUUUGUUAAUUUCUAGAAGUCUAAAACGUUAUUAGUGUUUUCAUGGCUUAGUGUGCCAGUGUUUUCAUGGCUUUUAUGGCAGGGCAAAUUAUAGAGGUAGAGGUCCUCAUACUGCCAUUCCAGAAGUUUCCUACUAGUAUUAUUUUUAAAGGAAAACAAAGUUUAAUUGAAGAUUUUUGUGCAUUAUAAAUGAUUCUUCAUCUUUAUUUUCAACUGUUUUAUUUAGGCAAUUGCAUAUUGUAGUUCAAAAUUCAAUAUUAAUUUACAGAGUGUGACAGAAGCCUACAUUUUCCUAGUUUCUUUCAGCACCUUCUUCAUAUCACAUAUUUCCUCGUGUUAUAUAGAGGGCUGAAUCUCCCAAGUAACUCUCCUUUUUAUUCCCCUUAAUUUAGUUAUGCUUUUUUUAACAUGUGGUACCCAGAGCCAGACAUAUUAUUUUUUAUGUAAUCAGAUCUUUGCAGGACAUACGAGGGCUUUCACAUUUCUCCUGUUAAGGGUAUUAUGUUUUUAUUGCUGUUGUUUAUUAGCAAACACACUUGACUGAGUAUAUAAACCUACCCAGAUUCAAAUCAACUUGAAGCAAGACACGAGAUAAUAGAAAUUGCAAGAUAAAUGCUGAACAGGUUGGUUUUUCUCUUUUGGACUUUGGGGACUUGGGUCCAGUGAGAUCUGAAAAUACCCAAAAAAGCUAGCAAAAUACCAAAGCACACAAAUUUACUUGUUAUUUUAUUUUGUUAUUCUUUAAAACUAUUUUAUAAAAUUUAUUUAAAGUAGAUUAACAAAAGAUUUCUUCUUCCAUUGUGAAAUGCGUUAUUUUCAAAUAUCUUUCUGAUAUCUGAUCAUUUGGUAAAAGAGCUCAUUCUUUCCUAUUAACUAGCCACACACAUACACUUUUUUAAAUAUUUUAAAUAUCAAGAAUACAAAAAGGGAAAAUACACUUAUUUGGCCAUUAAACCUUUCUGGCAUCUUAUUAAAAUCUUAUCAUAAGACAUGAAAAUAAUUGAUUUUAUUGAAGAUGUCCUCAUUCAGUUCAUCUAUAUCUAAGUGAUAUGCAGUAUGCAUAAUCCUUUGUCAACAUUCAAAUAAAUUUAAGACCAUAUUUUGGCAUGAUAAGUUCUAGUUUCUUAAAACUUGUACAAUUCAUGGCUGGACGCUGUGGCUCACACCUGUAAUCCUAGCACUCUGGGAGGCUGAGGAGGUCAGAUCACCUGAGGUCAAGAGUUCGAGACCAGCCUGGCCAACAUGGCAAAACCCUGUCUCUACUAAAAAUACAAAAAUUCACCGGAUGUGGUGGUACAUGCCUGUAAUCCCAGCUACAUGGGAGGGUGAGGCAGGAAAAUCACUCGAACCCAGGAGGUGGAGGUUGCAGUGAGCCAAGAUCACACCAUUGCACGCCAGCCUGGGUGAAAGAAUGAGACUCUGCCUCAAAGAAAAAAAAAAUUUACAAUUCAUACAGAGCAAUUCUCCCACUAUAAUUUAGCCUUCUUAUUUAUGAUGUUCAUCUGAAAUUCAUACCAUUGCUUAAUAGAAUACCUCAAAAUCUCUUUCUGAUAAAUUCAGUGGCUCCACAUUUGAGCAUGAAAAGCAGCAGAAAUAAUCAAAGUAUAUUUUAAAACUGAAGACAACUAAACUGUCAGUUUAAAGGAACACUUGUUAUCAAACUUCUAUCUUACAAACAUUUAGGCUCCACCUAAAAAUCUAGAGCAAAGACCAAAACAUUGUUUUGACAGAGUCUAAGAAGAAUGUGAGGAACAAAGAAGCAAGAGAAAACAUGAAAAACUAAAAUUGAUAUCUCUCUGGCUCCCUCUGUUUGUUUUUUUUUUUUUUUUUUUUAGCUGUAUGACUUAUUAGAUAAUUGUUGCCAUUUAUAACAAGGAUAUUAUACUUUUCUAUUUGUGGUGUUAACCAGAGGCACAGAGCACACAGAAAUGGGGAGCUGGAUGCAUAUAUUUACAUAUUUAAAUUUUAUAAUCCCUAGAUCUCUACUUUUUAGCUUCUUUCUCAAAUAGAUUGAAACCCUUCCCUGGAUGACUGAUGGAACAGAUUGGAGUUUUAUUGCUAAAGGGGAAUAAGAAAGUAGAAAGCCAUGUGCUAUAAUGGAGGCGUACUUUGCAAUCCUCUCAUUUUAAAUGUAUAUUAACAACUUGAUUCUAUAAUGGAAUAACUUCAAGAGUAGCUCUAAGCUCUCUACAAAAUGGCUAACUAUAUUCUUCUUAUUCAUUUCAACCUUCUAAAUAAAACAUGCGACCUCUUCACCCCCA
This is a long non-coding RNA of Homo sapiens (human), 10915 nucleotides long. RefSeq lists it as uncharacterized. The transcript is spliced from 2 exons. NCBI's taxonomy places the organism in Eukaryota, Metazoa, Chordata, Mammalia, Primates, Hominidae. The record is from RefSeq and is a predicted model, not a curated record.